Scophthalmus maximus (turbot) is the source of this 2170-nucleotide long non-coding RNA. Lineage: Eukaryota; Metazoa; Chordata; Actinopteri; Pleuronectiformes; Scophthalmidae. The record is from Ensembl.
UAGAUCUUGUUGACUGUGGUGCAAUAGAGACAGCUAAGCAUCUUGGGGAAGACAAACGUGUUCAGAUUAUGUUUUUAUAGCUCUCUUCCAACAAGAUGUAAAGGUUUCUUUUAUACAAGCCCGGCUGAAAUGUGUUUGUUUUAUAAAAAUAGAUUUUGGGGUAAAUACAAGUGCAUUUUCUUGGCAAGAAAAAGCAGAAUUUUGGUCAGCUGGUAAAUCUAAACCCAUAGUUAAUUGAUCACAGUCAUCAGGUGUAGGUAAUCAAGGAGAACCAGUCUACACUGACCUUUAUUCUUGAUGCGGGCAGCUAAUAUCAACAGUUAGUCAACCAAGCCCACUUUUAGAUUUGACACAGUGACCCCCAUGCCGCAGGUUAACCUGCUCAGUGGCAGAUUACUUUAAGAAGAUAAGAUCACAACCUUUCAACAGCCCAAACUAAUGAUCAUUGAGACAACACUGUAAACAUAAAGUCAUCUUUUCCAAACGGGAUUCCGACAGAGAUAAAAGUAUUGAGUCUGUAAUAAAGCAAGACUUCUAUAGAUGAUUAGUAGUAGUAGUAGUAGUAGUUGUAUAAUACUGUAGAAGUGGAACUGAAUAAACUCAGGUUAUUAUUAUAUCAUUUUAUCAUUAUUUAUUAUGCAUACUAUUUAUUUGUUAUUUUUUGACACUUGUUUAAUGUAUCUUUAUGUGCCUUGAAUGUUUUGUAAGGGUUACUAUUUAGAUCUUGAUGACAAAUAUUCUCUAUAUCAUCUUUGUUCAAUAGAAAAAAUAUAUAUAUGAAAAUAAAAAAAAUGAAAAAACAGAACUGCGCGCCAAGAACUUCCGGGAACUAUGUGAAGUCUGCGUAUUUGACUUCCGUUGUCGCGACUCUCCUUAGAUGGCUCUACUUAGGGCUCAGCCUCAUUACUACGUUUUCGUUUUUGACGUUUAUGUCCGUCGUCCACACGACUCCGGAAGUUUUUUUUCCGAGCGCACUAAAAACGGAGAAGAUUGGAAACGAUGUUUACGCCGUUUUAAGUUUGAAUAUUCCCGGACACCGUGGCGCAGUUUCCCGCGCAUUCGCUUCCUGGUUGGUUCCUAUCACGACGACUCAACAACCAGCGGCGAUGAAGGAAAAACACUUACCGUCAGUGACGGUUCCACCUCGUCGUUGUCGGUUCCAAGAAGUAGUAGUAGAAGAAGAAGAAGUUUGUUGUAUUCUCUUGACGUAAACAACUCUGCAGUUGGCGCCCGUUGGGUAGACGACAACCCACUUCCUGUUUACACCGGCGCGCGCAUGCCCGAAGGCUCCGACAGUUUCCUGUCAUGGUCGACGGACACGCAAGUAAAGACUAAAUUGUCUAAAUGACUUGAGAGUGUCAAUCUGGGUGUCCCUGCCUCCCUGCCCUCUGCUACACCUCCCCCCUCUAGUAUAGUAAGUAGGCACACACACACACACACACACACACACACACACACACACACACACACACACACACACACAUGUAUACUAACCUGUCAUGGCGGAUGUGUGCGACUGUAAAUGGCAGAAUCAAUGGUGUGUGUUGGUGGCCUUUUACUCCCGACCGCUCUGUGUGCAGCUCUUAAGCCAGAGCAGGAGACAGAUCUCAUCUGACAGACCACACACUGCAACAAUGCUCUUCAGGACUGUCACUCCUCCCAACGUCGUACGAGCUUGUGUGAGCGUGUUUCUUUAAUCAGGGUUAAAGGUCAGAUUAUCUGUGUGUGUGUGUGUGUGUGUGUGUGUGUGUGUGUGUGUGUGUGUGUGUGUGUGUGUGUGUGUGUGUGUGUGUGUGUGUGUGUGUGUGUGUGUGUGUGUGUGUGUGUGUGUGUGUGUGUGUGUGUGAGAGAAAAUACUUGAGAUACUUACAUGUGUGGAUGUGUUUGUUAUGAUGCUUAUAAGGAGGAUGAGAGAGGAAUGUUCCCCUCUUGCUGGAGGAUGAGAUGAAUGACAUUUUAAUUGAUUUAGCAUGGAGGCUCAAAGGCGAGAUCAUACACAAUUUAUUGCAGUGUGCGUGUGUGUGUGUGUGUGUGUGUGUGUGUUUCCUCCUAUAUUCACCGCAUUCACACAGCAGCCAUUUUCCCUUAUAUAAACAUAUAGGAAUCAGACAAAUCAGUGUUUGUUUUUACAAAAAAAAGCGAAAGCUCCAUCAGUUUUUUGCCUCUCAGU